Molecule: RNA transcript, 1012 nt
Organism: Colletes gigas
Lineage: Eukaryota; Metazoa; Arthropoda; Insecta; Hymenoptera; Colletidae
Gene: ND-B14.5B
Gene name: NADH dehydrogenase [ubiquinone] 1 subunit C2
Exons: 5
Source: RefSeq, a predicted model, not a curated record
GCACCGAGAACCGCAAACCGAAUCCUUUUAUUGGUGCGUUUGUCACACUAGUACUUACAGCGGUGUAACAGUAGACUGAACUGUACUACUAUUCGCUAAUGUUGAUUCGGUCAGGUGUAAUUCAACCGAUUGUUGUAUUACAUAAGUUCUAGUUAAGAUCUUCCUCUAAAAGCAGGGAAUCGUUUUCACAAUCUAACCAGCGUUAAAAACAAAGAAUAUGGGAGACGGAGGAAAGGAACCUGAUGGCGAAUGGGCCAUUGAUCUUCUAACAAGAGAUAUGGGUUAUAAGACGCAAUUUUACAAUACAUAUUUCAGCGAAAUGUUGUUUGGAAUCGCAGGUUUUUGUGCACCAUUAUCAGCGAACGUGUGGGUGAGGCAGCCUCUAUUCUCUCAUCUUCCAAUUGCUAUUGUCGGAGGCUUGAUAGGAGUAGCUAUUGGAAAUUUUGUUACAAAGAAGGUCGAUUUCUUCUUUGCACGACGUGAUGCCAAAUUAAUAGAUUAUAUUAGACUACAUCCAGAUCGUUUCCCUGCACCAGAAAAUAAGAAAUAUGCAGAUAUAUUUCAGCCAUGGGUGCCUCUUCGAUAGUUGUCCUUUGAGCGAAUCCACCAUCGUUAUAACAACGUGACGUGCUCGAGACGAUCGUGUUCGGUAAUCAUGAGACGAAUUCGUAAUUACAGGGAUAUUUUUAUUCCAAACGUAUAGUAAAAAGGUGCCCUCUCCUCCCCCGCACAAUACAAUCAUGUCCCUAUCGUUUCAAGAUGAUCUAUGAGGAGAAAGUGGUAUUCGCGAAGAAGCUUCCACCAUGAUUUUAUAACAGUUAAGCAUGAUACAAGAGUCUUGAAACCAGUAACUUUUGAACACUAAACUGUUGUACGUACAAGUUGGGAACAUGUAUAUAAACACUUUAACAAAAUUCUCGAUGAAUUGUCAAAUUUAAUUUUCUUGAGAACGCAGCCCCGUAUAAACAAAUUUUAUUCUAUGCAUGUGAUUUAUUUUUUUAUAAAUUCUCGU